Molecule: long non-coding RNA, 1846 nt
Filed under: Triticum aestivum (bread wheat)
Lineage: Eukaryota; Viridiplantae; Streptophyta; Magnoliopsida; Poales; Poaceae
Description: long non-coding RNA (TAES_LNC020326)
Source: RNAcentral
CGGGCGUGUCGGUGACGCGCGGGACGGACGGGACGUGCGGGACGCAGCAGCGUGGCGUGUGUGUAUGGGCAGUGUAUGAACCAUGUGUGUAUGCGUGUGUGCGCAUGUAUGUGUGUGGUGUAGUGGCCACGGUAAACAGGCUAGGCUGUUGAUCCGUUGCGAGCCGGACGCGGCGUGCGCGUUGAGCACGUCGUGGGCAUGCGGAUAGCACCCGUGCAUGCAGCAGGGUGGAGUGGGCUGCGUCUUGGUGGAAGCGUGGGCGGUGCGUUUGCUGCUAAGACUAUAAAGCCGGCUGUAAUCCUGUGUAUCGUGGGGGAAGUGCUAGCCAGUUUGAUAUAAAAGAAAAGGCUGUACGUGCGGCCGGAAAAAAAACUGUGCGUCUUCUACCUCCAGCUACGAGAGAGAGAGCUGCAACAACAAUUGGUAUACAGAGCUUCGGUUCGGGCGAUCACCGGCGACCAUGGCGCUCGUCCCACACGGCGGUGGCGCGGGCGGAUCGGCGACGAUGGCGAUGCCGAUGCUGACCGCGGACAACUACACGGUCUGGGCCAUCAAGGCGCAGGCGAUCCUCGACGUCCACACCGUAUGGGAGGCGGUGGCGCCGGGCGACGCGGCAGUGAACGCGCGGAAGGACAAGAUGGCGCGUGCGUUGCUUCUCGGGGCGUUGCCGGAGGAUGUGCUGCUGCAGGUGUCGACGAAGCUCACCGCCAGGGAGGUAUGGGACUCCCUGAAGGUGAGGUUCGUCGGCGCCGAUCGGGUCCGUGCGGCAAGGCUGGGGACGCUGCGCGGCGAAUUCGACCGGAUGAAGAUGGCGGACGGCGAGGAGCUCGAUGUGUACGGCGGGAGGCUCGCGGCGAUGGCGGCGAGGUAUGCCAACCUCGGGGAGACGCUGGGCGACGCAGCACUUGUCAAGAAGUUGCUGGAUACGGUGCCGGAUCGCCUCUUCCCCGUCGUCGCCGGCAUCGAGCAGUUCCACGACGUGACGACGAUGGCGUUCGACGAAGCGCUCGGGCGGCUGCGUGCGUUCGACGAGCGGGUUCGGCGCCGUGGACAAGACGGUGGCGAGCGCGGGGGUGAGCAGCUGCUCAUGACGGCGGCGCAGUGGGCAGCGCGGGAGCGUCGACACGGCGGUGCUCGGGACGACGACGACGGGCGCAGCGUGGCGUCGGGGAGCGGCGGCAACAGGCGCAGGCGCUGCUACAAGUGCGGGGAGCACGGGCACUUCCGGCGCGAGUGUCCGCAGCUGCGGAAAGGACCGGCGGCGGAGCAGGCUCUCUUGGCCGGUGCCAACGUCGACGACGACGGACUCCUCUAGGCCGUGGCUUAGGGGGUGUGUGUUGGAAUAAGCCACGGCGUGUGUGGUCGGGUUCGUCGGGCGCGUCGGGUGCGCGCGGGACGGGCGGGACAUACUGGUGCCGUCGGGCUCGUCGGGUUUGUCGGGCGUGUCGGUGACGCGCGGGACGGACGGGACGUGCGGGACGCAGCAGCGUGGCGUGUGUGUAUGGGCAGUGUAUGAACCAUGUGUGUAUGCGUGUGUGCGCAUGUAUGUGUGUGGUGUAGUGGCCACGGUAAACAGGCUAGGCUGUUGAUCCGUUGCGAGCCGGACGCGGCGUGCGCGUUGAGCACGUCGUGGGCAUGCGGAUAGCACCCGUGCAUGCAGCAGGGUGGAGUGGGCUGCGUCUUGGUGGAAGCGUGGGCGGUGCGUUUGCUGCUAAGACUAUAAAGCCGGCUGUAAUCCUGUGUAUCGUGGGGGAAGUGCUAGCCAGUUUGAUAUAAAAGAAAAGGCUGUACGUGCGGCCGGAAAAAAAACUGUGCGUCUUCUACCUCCAGCUACGAGAGAGAGAGC